AUACUUACCUGGCAGGGGAGAUACCAUGAUCAUGAAGGUGGUUUCCCCAGGGCGAGGCUUAUCCAUUGCACUACGGAUGUGCUGACCCCUGCGAUUUCCCCAAAUGUGGGAAACUCGACUGCAUAAUUUGUGGUAAAAAAGAAAAAAAAGAAACAAGUUAUGUACUUUUUUU
This is a small nuclear RNA of Suncus etruscus (white-toothed pygmy shrew), 172 nucleotides long. RefSeq annotates it as U1 spliceosomal RNA. The record is from RefSeq and is a predicted model, not a curated record. The transcript has a single exon. NCBI's taxonomy places the organism in Eukaryota, Metazoa, Chordata, Mammalia, Eulipotyphla, Soricidae.